Molecule: ribosomal RNA, 486 nt
Filed under: uncultured Winogradskyella sp.
Lineage: Bacteria; Pseudomonadati; Bacteroidota; Flavobacteriia; Flavobacteriales; Flavobacteriaceae
Description: bacterial SSU rRNA
Rfam family: Bacterial small subunit ribosomal RNA
Source: RNAcentral
GAUGAACGCUAGCGGCAGGCCUAACACAUGCAAGUCGAACGGUAACAGGAGAGAGCUUGCUCUUUCGCUGACGAGUGGCGCACGGGUGCGUAACGCGUAUACAAUCUACCUUUUACAGGGGGAUAGCCUUUAGAAAUGAAGAAUAAUACCCCAUAGUAUAUAAAUUUCGCAUGUUAUUUAUAUUAAAGAUUUAUCGGUAAAAGAUGAGUAUGCGUUCUAUUAGCUAGAUGGUGUGGUAACGGCACACCAUGGCAACGAUAGAUAGGGGCCCUGAGAGGGGGAUCCCCCACACUGGUACUGAGACACGGACCAGACUCCUACGGGAGGCAGCAGUGAGGAAUAUUGGACAAUGGAGGCAACUCUGAUCCAGCCAUGCCGCGUGCAGGAAGACUGCCCUAUGGGUUGUAAACUGCUUUUAUACAGGAAGAAACCUUUCCACGUGUGGAGAGCUGACGGUACUGUAAGAAUAAGGAUCGGCUAACUCCG